RNAcentral lists this ribosomal RNA (216 nucleotides) under uncultured bacterium. RNAcentral's name for it is "partial 16S ribosomal RNA". It matches the Rfam family "Bacterial small subunit ribosomal RNA", at positions 115 to 334 of the family's 1533-position model. The record is from RNAcentral.
GUAUGGGGAUCUGCCCGAUAGAGGGGGAUAACUACUGGAAACGGUGGCUAAUACCGCAUAAUGUCUACGGACCAAAGCAGGGGCUCUUCGGACCUUGCACUAUCGGAUGAACCCAUAUGGGAUUAGCUAGUAGGUGGGGUAAAGGCUCACCUAGGCGACGAUCUCUAGCUGGUCUGAGAGGAUGAUCAGCCACACUGGGACUGAGACACGGCUCAG